Molecule: ribosomal RNA, 492 nt
Filed under: uncultured bacterium
Lineage: Bacteria
Description: partial 16S ribosomal RNA
Rfam family: Bacterial small subunit ribosomal RNA
Source: RNAcentral
AGUGAACGCUGGCGGUAGGCCUAACACAUGCGAGUCGAACGGCAGCACAGUAAGAGCUUGCUCUUACGGGUGGCGAGUGGCGGACGGGUGAGGAAUACAUCGGAAUCUACUUUUUCGUGGGGGAUAACGUAGGGAAACUUACGCUAAUACCGCAUACGACCUACGGGUGAAAGCAGGGGAUCUUCGGACCUUGCGCGAUUGAAUGAGCCGAUGUCGGAUUAGCUAGUUGGCGGGGUAAAGGCCCACCAAGGCGACGAUCCGUAGCUGGUCUGAGAGGAUGAUCAGCCACACUGGAACUGAGACACGGUCCAGACUCCUACGGGAGGCAGCAGUGGGGAAUAUUGGACAAUGGGCGCAAGCCUGAUCCAGCCAUACCGCGUGGGUGAAGAAGGCCUUCGGGUUGUAAAGCCCUUUUGUUGGGAAAGAAAAGCAGCAGGUUAAUACCCCGCUGUUCUGACGGUACCCAAAGAAUAAGCACCGGCUAACUUCGCG